UUUUUCCCAUGGAAAAAUGAUGAGAGAACAAAUAACAGAUGACAGGUGUGUAGUCAUGUCACUUAAUGCACUACUGGAAGGUACUCAGAUACUAUGGUGAA
Non-coding RNA from Chelonoidis abingdonii (Abingdon island giant tortoise), 101 nucleotides. The record is from RefSeq and is a predicted model, not a curated record. Lineage: Eukaryota; Metazoa; Chordata; Testudines; Testudinidae.